UCGGGUAAAACACAAGUUUCACGUGCAAACCCAUGAGCAAGAAGUGGAAGCUGAAAUGCGGAAUUGCUUCGGAACUCUGCUGUGCCACUGUGCCAAGCUGUGGGGUCCCAACACCUCUCGGCGAUGCUGCGAGGGCUGUGGGGUCCCAACACCUCAGGAGGUGUUGGAGGGCCCUUCUGCUGGCAGCUCCACGCAUGCUUAGUUUGUAGCAGCACGGUGCCACUGCAGGCGCCCAGCAACUGUUUGCAAGAUGCUCUGCAGUGGAAGGGAGAGACAAGUGCCGCGGAGCAGUCCCCUCGUUGAACUGCCUUCUCUGUCGCCAACAUACUCCUUCUGACCAGAGCGGAGUUCACAGGAGGGACUGCCCUCGUGUUUCCAGAUGGGACCGAAGGCGAAGGUGCUCCGGGUUCCCGGCUGGGUUCCAGGACUGAAGCUCUGGGAGAUGGCCUGGGCAAGUUGUGGCUUUGGGCUUCCUUCGAGAGCUGCCAGCUCAAAGCCCCGCUGUCAGCCAGGCGUCUCUGCAGGUGGGAGGGUACAGAGCGGCACCUGCGUGAGCCCUGCCAAGGCACCACCCCGGUACGCUCUCCUGAGCAACUGAUGGAGGUGGCGAUGGGUCAGCAGCUCCUCGCGGGUCUUUGUUUGCAGAAGUGUCCCCAAGGAAGGCUCUGCCAGACCCACGGCUGCUGCCUGCACUGGAGCACCACGGGCAUCCCGGGGGUGGGUCGUCAUUUCACAGACUUCCCACGCCAAGCCCGGCUUCUAAAGGGGCAGACUGAAAGACUGUGCCGAAGGAUGCGCUUUGGGAAGGAAGCGGUCGCACGCUGCCACUCUCUGACCAAGGAAGAGAGGCAACGCAGGCAACUGCCGCACCAGGUAAAGGCAGGUUCUUGGUCAUCCGCUGUCAGCAAGCAGAACCAGCAUGCGUGUGCAGGUUCUUGCCCUGGUACCGCAUUAUGGCCGGGAGAACAAAGGCUGGAGGGCAAACAGAGCUGAGAGGCCAAAGGGAGGCUCCUGAGUGCGCUGAGUUGCAGUGACUUUGGCCGAUGCCCCAGCUUCUGCUGAGCCUCAUUGUGGCCUGAGGAGUUUCACUUGCUCAAAGAUGCUAAGCGAAUGAAAAAGAACACUGCUGGCAACGUCGGCCCUCCUGUGGGAUUACCAGUAGUGCACAGGACACAGCAAUGUUCGCAAUUGUUCUUCCAGGCGUGGAUGGGGAGAACAAUGCUAAGACCGCAACGCCCCCAAAUUUCCAAAGAUCUUGUAUAGAAGGCGCUGCGGCAUUCUUGGCUCUCCUCACGCUUGUGGCAGUUGGGUGCUGCGUGCUUAUGCGGCGCUGGAGGCAGAAAAAUCAGUGCCUCGCCGCAGCCCAGGCAGCUGCGACAGACCCCCGCGGCCGGCCCUUGAGCCCGUACAGGCGGCCUGACCACCGUGGCAUGCCCGAGAGCCAGGCCCGACGGCAGCAGCCCCCAGCAGUGCCUGGAGGACCGCGCUGCCUGCCACCAGCACGGCCUCCACGGCCCCCACGCCCGGCACCAGUCCAAUGGGAGGCACGCGACCAGCCUGGUGACCCCCAGAGCACGGCCCUCGUGUCCCCCCCCUCCUCCCAGGGCUGGGGGAGGCCCCCCUGUGGUGCCUACCGGUGGAAUUACUCAGCCUCAGGCCACUUUCAAUAAAUAUUGAAUAACACGG
Long non-coding RNA from Oxyura jamaicensis (ruddy duck), 1686 nucleotides. RefSeq lists it as uncharacterized. The record is from RefSeq and is a predicted model, not a curated record. Lineage: Eukaryota; Metazoa; Chordata; Aves; Anseriformes; Anatidae. The transcript has 2 exons.